RNA transcript from Sycon ciliatum, 1096 nucleotides. RefSeq lists it as uncharacterized. The transcript has 2 exons. Lineage: Eukaryota; Metazoa; Porifera; Calcarea; Leucosolenida; Sycettidae. The record is from RefSeq and is a predicted model, not a curated record.
AACAGGAGACGAUGAGUCGUUCCAUGACUUCCUGGAGUGUGUUCGCAAAGCGCAUGCAUGUCCAGUGUAAGGAAGAUCCUGGAGAAGCUGGACCCCAUCGACAAGUACAGAAAACCAGCAGCAGCAGCACCCCAGGCCGCUGAGCCAGAUGCAUCUCCGAUCAGUAAGCCCCCAGCAGCUCCGAGGAAACCGUGUCCUGGUACGUUAACUUUACUUGUCCACCUCAUAUUCUUUACCUACAGUACUACUGUAAAACCUGUGACUAACAACCACCCCUUGGGGCCAGAGAAAGCGGUCUUUAGUGACAGGUGGUCCUCAUUUAGAGGUUUGCACCGCACAACCAUUAAUAUCAAUGUGAGACCGUCCGUGCCUGGCGAAGUGGUCUGUAGUAGCAGGCUGGUCGCUAGUCACGGUGGUCUGUUGCUACAGGUUUUACUGUAUUGGGCGAUGAAGAACGGAGCGCCGAAGAAAGACCAGCCUAAAUGUUCACCAAGCACAGCAUACCAAUGUACACAAGGUGACUCGACUGGCAUAGACUUGAAAUAGAAAUUUUCUAGGCUAGGAGGGCUGACCCCCCUCUUCCAGUUCUCUGGCGACCGACAGUACUGUUUUGCUCUGAGAACCAGCACUGUGUUAGGGCAUUACGUCAUCAUUCGGGGUACUUGCAUGCAGUGACGGGUCUCACUGCUAAGUCACUGCACUCAUAGCAUACUAUACAUGAUGAUUUUACAUUCGCAUGACGUCAUAGAGAAUGAUGUCGAUGCUGUGCUCAAAUCUGCUUCUUAUGUUUUGUUUGUGAUCAGCUUUGGUAGUGCUUUCUCUGGUAUGUUAACGUGGCCCAAUAUCAUCUUCAUCGCUCUCUGUGGUUCCGUCUGUCUUUCGCUCUCCCAGCCGCUCUCUCUCUCUCUCUCUCUCUCUCUCUCUCUCUCUCUCUCUCUCUCUCUCUCUCUCUCUCUCUCUCUCUCUCUCUCUCUCUCUCUCUCUCUCUCUCUCUCUCUCUCUCUCUCUCUCUCUCUCUCUCUCUCUCUCUCUCUCUCUCUCUCUCUCUCUCUCUCCUCUCUCUCUCUCUCUCUCUCUCUCUCUCUCUCUCUCUCUC